CCACAACAUGAGGAACUGUAUUAAAGGGUCGCGCCAUUAGGAAGGUUGAGAACCACUGUAAUAGAGCAAAAGAAAAAAUUAAGUUAAAUGAUCAUUAUUAUUAAAUGACGAAUUAAAUUUGAAAAUAAAUAUUUUGUAAAAAAUAAAUUUGAAUAAUUAUUAGAAGCUGAAAUUAUAUUGCAAAUGCAAGCUAAUAUCAAUUUUACAUUUACACUGAAUAUUCAGAAAUGAAAUUUGAAAAAUAAUUUUUUAUAAAUGAUAUGUUGAUUCUAAAAGCAGGAAAAUAUUCAUGAAACAAUAACAACAUCGUACCCAUAUACCAAUGGGAGGAUGAUAGUAAUGAGAGAGAAAGGAGAAAAUAAAAACUUCAUUCACAUACUAAUAUGCUUUAUCCUUAUUUCUACAUACUAAAUCAUUUUCUACAUAUUGGUGCUCUUUUUCAUAUAUGUAUCUUAUUCACAUUCUAAAAUUUAUACCUUAUCAGAUACUCAUUUACAUGUUGUCUACUCUUUUCAGAAUACAG
This 523-nucleotide long non-coding RNA is filed under the name Androctonus crassicauda. The record is from RNAcentral. Lineage: Eukaryota; Metazoa; Arthropoda; Arachnida; Scorpiones; Buthidae.